UAAGCGAAUAGUGAAACCUGGUGGCUCAACCAUACAGACUAUUAUUCGAACUGGCAAACUCGAGAGCAGUAGAGGUAACUGGAAUUUCUUGUGUAGGAGUGAAAUCCGUAGAUAUAAGAAGGAACACCAAUGGCGUAGGCAGGUUACUAGGCUGUUUCUGACGCUAAGGCACGAAAGCGUGGGGAGCGAACCGGAUUAGAUACCCGGGUAGUCCACGCCGUAAACGAUGGAUACUA
Molecule: ribosomal RNA, 236 nt
Filed under: uncultured Candidatus Saccharibacteria bacterium
Lineage: Bacteria; Candidatus Saccharimonadota
Description: partial 16S ribosomal RNA
Rfam family: Bacterial small subunit ribosomal RNA
Source: RNAcentral